GUCCUGAAGUCAACUGUUAAUAUUAUUUACGUAAUUACAUUAUAAUAUUUUUGUAUUACUUGAUAAUAUUUUGUAUUAGUAACUACAAUGCUUUAAUUUGGAGGUAAAGUUGUUUAUAUUUAUUGUACUUUAUAAUCGGUAAACACAUGAUGUCACUUCCGCUAAAUUACUUCCUGUUGGUUGACUUCCGGUAUUUGUUCGAAAGCUAGAGAUACAUUUUGUGGUCUUCUGUAGUACUUUCUGUUGCCAUCCUACACAAAGCGGCGAAGAAGCAAUGCCUUUUUCACCAUCUUGUCUAUGAAGGAAUUGUCAAAAGUAAAUGGUCAAGCUUACAACGACGUUCUCUUCAUUGACUCCGGUUUGGCUUGGUGUUGAGUUGGCGUUUUUACACGUCUCACGAGAACACUAAAGUGAAAAAGGCACGUUCCGGCUGCCCUAAAGUAUCAACAUGGCAACUAGUCACAGUGGAAGCAGCAAAACGUCAGUAUCCACAGCAAGCGCAGCUCUUGUUAGAGCUAAAGCAGAAGCCGCGAAAGUACGAGCGUCGUACGCAAGCCAAGAAGCUAAGCUUAAACUGGAAGAAGCUAAGCUAAAACUAGAAAAGGCUCAUAAUCAAUUGGAAACAACGAGAAUAACCACAGAAUUAGAAGUGCUGACAUUACAACGAGAAGCAGACGCAGCUGAGGCGGAAGCUCAAGUAUUGGAGGAAGCUUCGGGAGCACAAUCCACUGGCGAUGACAGGAAAACUGAAUCAGAAAAGGCAAAAAUUGAACGCACAAGUGAAUAUGUUCAAUCACAGAUCGACCUUCAACAGCAGUUGUCAUCUCCAGCUGCCUUGUGUCCAGCAAUAGACAAGCAACCGUAUCCGUUAACACAAGCUACCAUCAACACCUGGCAUCUGGAUGAAAAUACUCCAUAUAUGCAACCCAGUCCUAAUAGAACAAACUUUAAGAGCGAUAAAGGAUCUCACUUAUCCACACCAAACUUAAAGAAACCAGUUAAAGCCACGACAAACUUCGAAGAAAAAAGACAAUCUGGCCCAAACAUACAUGCUCCGCCUUAUGUUCCCCGACAGGUUCCACAAGCCAGCAUACCGUCUUCAGUGGAACCAUUGGCCCACUAUUUGGCAACACGAGAUCUCAUCACCUCAGGACUGUACUACUUCGCUGAUAAACCAGAAGAUUAUCGCGCAUGGGAGUCGUCAUUCACUACAGCGGUCAGCGGUGCUCACCUCACAACAACCCAAGAACUAGACCUCAUGACAAAGUGGCUUGGUAAGGAGUCUGGAGAACAUGUGAGACGCAUCCGCUCAAUGUAUGUAAACCAUCCAGAACUGGCUCUACACAAAGCAUGGGAGAGACUACGUGACUGUUAUGCUGCCCCUGAAAUCAUUGAAAAAUCACUAUUUGAUCGGCUGGACAAUUUCCCCAAAAUUUCUAAUAAGGACAACGCUAGGCUACGCGAACUGGGAGAUUUGCUCAUGGAAAUUCAAGGUUUCAAAGAGGACGGCUAUGUCACCGGCUUGUCCUAUCUGGAUACGUCACGUGGAAUUAGGCCGAUUGUGGACAAGCUUCCUUAUAGCCUUCAGGAAAAAUGGACAUCUUCUGGGUUUUUGUACAAAGAACAUAAUAACGGUUGCUUCCCUCCCUUCCACUACUUCUGUGUUUUUGUGUGCUCCGAGGCAAAGAAACGAAAUGACCCCAGUUUCACCUACCAGUACAAUACAACUGCUAACCUUGACAAACACAUUGCAAAAGGUUUUAACUCCAACAGACCCAUCACAGUGCACAAAACAGACAUUUUAACAACCAAUAGUGACCCCAAUGAAUGUUGUCCUCUACACAACAAACCACAUCCCCUUAAGAGAUGCAGGACAUUCCGAAACAAAUCCCUGGAUGAUAGAAAGGCCUUUUUGAAGGAAAAAGGGAUAUGUUUUAAAUGUUGUUCCUCAGUUUCACAUCUCGCCAAACAAUGCCAGUCUUCUGUAAAGUGUUAUGAAUGUGGAAGCACUCAUCAUGAGGCAGCAAUGCAUCCUGGUCAAUCCUCUCAAAUGGCCAAGGCUCCUCCAUCCCUUAAAGAGGAUGGCGGGGAGGGAGAAGAACAGUAUAACAGAGAAGAACAGUAUAACAUGCCUGAUGUUAGCACGAGCUGUACAGAUGUUUGCGGUCAAGGUCAGUGGGGGCGCUCAUGCUCAAAAAUAUGCCUUACUAAAAUGUACCAUAAAGACUUCAAGGACAAGGCCAUCAAAGCCUACGUAAUUUUGGAUGACCAAAGUAAUCGAUCAUUGGCAAGACCAGAAUUGUUUAAAAUGUUCAAUGUGGACAGCAAACCAAUCACCUAUCAUCUCAGAACUUGUUCUGGCCUCGUAGAGACACAUGGCAGGGCGGCUGAGGGUUUCCAGAUUGAGUCCCUAGAUGGUAAAGUUCUCAUCUCACUUCCAACACUCCUCGAGUGUCAAGAGAUUCCAAAUAAUCGGAAUGAGAUCCCAACACCAACUGCAGUUUUGCAUCAACCCCAUCUCCAUCACAUUGCCAAACACAUCCCAGAAUUCGACCCAGAUGCACAGAUACUUCUGCUCCUUGGAAGAGAUGUAAUCAGGGCACACAAGGUCAGACAGCAAGUAAAUGGACCACACGACGCUCCUUUUGCACAACGUCUGGAUUUAGGCUGGGUGGUGAUGGGAGAAGUGUGUUUAGGCAAUACACACAAACCAACAAUUAAUUCAAUGAAAACAAACGUAUGGGAAAAUGGACGUCAUUCCAUCCUUCUACCCUGCACCAGCGUCAUGUGUGUUAAGAAGCAACAAACCUUCAACCAGUCCCGCAAAUCACAAGAAAGGAUGCUGGGAUCGACAGUUUUCAACCAAACUGAACACGACAACAAACCUGCUCCAUCAAUGGAUGACCUCCUCUUUCUAAAGAUUAUGGACAUUCAAACCUACAGAGAUGGAUCCAACAAUUGGGUCGCUCCACUCCCAUUUAAGGAACCACGUCAACGUUUGCCUAACAAUAAGGACCAGGCAAUCAAGCGGUUCAUGUCACUUCAAGAAACCCUCCAAAAGGAAACCGGAAAUGCUGUCACGUUCAUAGAAAAGCUCAUUGGACCAGAUAAUGACUCUGAAAUCCGACCACAAGUGCAGACCUGCGCUACUUACCUGGAACGUCAGAUACUCAACCCAGAUCGCUUCCAACGAUUUUCCACUUUCACUUCCUUGGUGAGGGGUGUAGCAUUCCUCAUCCACGUCGCAAGAACAUGCAAACGGUCUAAUCAAAAAGAUGGAUGCAAAUUCUGGCACAAGUGUCACCAACCACGCACUGCAGAUGAAAUUGCCCAAGCUAAAUAUAUUAUUCUGAGGGCAGCACAAAAGGCAGCCUUCUCAGGAGAGCUUUUAGCUUUACAAGAAAACAAGCCAGUUUCAAGAAACAGCCCUUUGUUGAAACUCAACCCAACAUUGGAGGAUGGACUCAUUUGUGUGGGAGGUAGACUAAAGUGCUCUGAACUCACACUUUUAGAAAAGAAUCCUGUAAUUCUCCCCAAGAAAAGCCACAUCUCUGUGUUGCUCACACACCACCACCAUGUGCAGGUGAAACAUCAAGGCCGUCAUUUUACUGAAGGAGCCAUCAGAGCAGCAGGAUUGUGGAUUCUAGGUGGACGGUCUUUAAUCAACUCAAUUCUUCACAAAUGCACAAUCUGUCGUAGACUUCGAGGGAAGGUUCAAGAACAACAAAUGGCUAAUUUGCCUCCGGAACGUCUUAAAUCCUGCCCUCCUUUUACGUAUGUGGGAGUCGAUGUCUUUGGACCCUGGUCUGUCUUAACCAGACGUACCAGAGGAGGACAAGCAGAGAGCAAGCGGUGGGCCAUGAUGUUCACUUGUCUUAGUUCGAGAGCUGUUCAUAUCGAGUUAAUCGAGUCUAUGGACACUUCAAGUUGUAUCAACGCCCUCAGCCGUUUUUUCGCACUUCGAGGUCCAGCAAAUCAACUUCAUUCUGAUUGUGGCACUAAUUUUACGGGAGCAUGCAAAGAGCUUGGAAUGAACAAGGCGGUGCAGAACUUCCUCAGUGAAAAGCAGUGCAUUUGGAAAUUCAACCCACCACACGCUUCCCACAUGGGAGGCUCUUGGGAGUGAAUGAUCGGGAUUGCAAGAAGAAUCCUGGAUUCAAUGUUACUGCAGCAUGGGACUCGUAUAACCCAUGAAGUUCUUUGCACUCUGAUGGCGGAAGUCACUGCAAUUAUAAAUGCACGACCACUUCUGCCUGUAUCCAUAGAUCCACAACAACCCUUCAUUCUUUCACCAGCAAUGCUCCUAACACAGAAGGCAGGAGCUCCACCUCCACCUGGAGAAUUCACAGAGAGGGACCUUUACACCAAACAAUGGAAGCAAGUGCAAGCAUUUGCAAACCAGUUUUGGAGCCGAUGGAGAAGGGAGUACCUUCCUUCUUUGCAACAGAGACAGAAAUGGAAUAUGUCAAGGCGAAACCUUCAAGUAGGAGAUCUAGUUCUCCUCAAGGACAAGCAAGCUGCACGUAACUACUGGCCUAUGGCCAUGGUCACCGCCACGUUCCCCGGGAUCGACAAUUUGGUCAGGAAGGUCGAAGUGAAGACUACAGACCAAGGAACCCCAAAAACAUUUUUGAGACCAGUAACAGAAGUUGUUUUACUCCUGCCCAAAGACUAGAGUUAUUUGGUGACCUUAGUGGCCUCACAUAGGCCAGGCGGGGAGUGUGUUGUCCUGAAGUCAACUGUUAAUAUUAUUUACGUAAUUACAUUAUAAUAUUUUUGUAUUACUUGAUAAUAUUUUGUAUUAGUAACUACAAUGCUUUAAUUUGGAGGUAAAGUUGUUUAUAUUUAUUGUACUUUAUAAUCGGUAAACACAUGAUGUCACUUCCGCUAAAUUACUUCCUGUUGGUUGACUUCCGGUAUUUGUUCGAAAGCUAGAGAUACAUUUUGUGGUCUUCUGUAGUACUUUCUGUUGCCAUCCUACACAAAGCGGCGAAGAAGCAAUGCCUUUUUCACCAUCUUGUCUAUGAAGGAAUUGUCAAAAGUAAAUGGUCAAGCUUACAACGACGUUCUCUUCAUUGACUCCGGUUUGGCUUGGUGUUGAGUUGGCGUUUUUACACGUCUCACGAGAACACUAAAGAUUAAGUAAAGAAGUUAAACAUUGUACUGAUAUGAUCCAGUUUAAGAGGCUGUUCAAAUUAAUAGUGCUUACAAAGUACAAAGAAGAAGAAUUAUGAGAAACACUUUCAACCUUAUUGAAAAAAAUAUAUUCUUCAUCUUAGUAUGUUGGUAAUGACUGAAUUAAAUAUUAAUUACAUGUUACAGAACAGUUGUAUUACUCAUUCACGGAUGUCAUUUUACUAUUUUGCUGUAAAAAGAGUCAGUAAAUGAAUGUAUAUAUUUGUGGGCGCUCUGACGUGGGAAAGGGGUAGGAUUAAAUAAGCUUUGCUUCUUCCCACUCCUUUUCGAACUUGAUGUGAUGUGAGGUGAUAUCAAAUUGUCCGUUUUGUAUCGUAAAUGUGUUCAUGUUCGAAAUAAACUAAGAAAGAAAGAAAGAAAGAAUGAAAGAAAGAAAGAAAGAGUCCAUGAUUCUCGCCUGGAAAAGUGUUAAAUGCCAUCUCUGGGUUUGGGUGGAGUUCUUGCCUGAAGUAUAGGAGUUCAAGUACCUCUUCUUGUCCACAAGUGAGGGGAGAAUGGAUCGUGAAAUUUACAAGCGGAUUGGUGCGGCGUCUGCAGAGCUGGGACCUUGAUGCGGACUCGUGAGCCAUUGUGUUGAAGAAGGAGCUGAGUCGGAAGGAAAAGCUCUCAAUUUACCGGUCAAUCUACUUUCCCAUUCUCACCUAUAGUUAUGAGCUUUGGGUUAUGACCGUAAGGACAUGAUCACGGGUACAAGCGGCCGAAAUGAGUUUCCUCUGUCGGGUGGCGGGGCUCUCCCUUACAGAUUGGGUAAGAAGCUCUGUCAUUCGGGAGGAGCUCAAAGUAAAGCCGCUGCUCCUCCACAUCGAGAGGAGCCAGAUGAGGUGGUUCGGGCAUUUGGUCAAGAUGCCCUUCGGACGCCUCCCUGUGGAAGUGUUUAGGGCACGUCUGACCAAUAGGAGGACACGGGGAAGACCCAGGACACGUCGGGGGGACUAUGUCUCCCGACUGGCCGAGGAACACAUCGGGAUUUCCCAGGAGGAGCUGGACGAAAUGGCUGGGGAGAAGAAAGUCAGGGCUUCUGUGCUUAGGCUGCUGCCCCCGCUACCUGACCUCGGAUAGGCGGCAGAAGAUGGAUAGUUUUUGAAGUAUCUCUGUCAUUUGUAUUCAUUGGUUUCUAUAAAAACUAGGGCAAAAAAAUCUGUAAAAAUUGUAAACCAAAUUUUAUGUGAAAAAAUCUGAGAUUUUAUUAGGCCUUAUCAACCAGGCUUAGAUGACAGUAGUGUAUAAAUUACGGUGCGUUGCUCGUCUUUGCCUUGAAACUGAAUGUGCCAGUCUUGUCUUGUUGCGCCCUAUAAAGUAUGUAAGUAUUGUAUUAAUUACACACUUGCAGUUUGAUUGUAACGUGCAUUUUGUUACCAAACUUGGAGGCGUCGAACUCACCAUGUAAAAUAGCUAAUGCUCGUCAGUAGCAUGUAUAUGGCAAAGCCAAUGUAAAUUAGCAUCAAGCUAGUGCAUUUUUGAAACUAUCGAGUAUUUUCUAUCAGGCACACUUGCUUUGUUGGAAUUAAAAAUUGUAAUAUUACCUAAAAGAAGUUUGGCUUAGUCCGUUCUGAGUGCUUAAGUCAUUGUUUUCUCUUUUUUUGAGCCGGUGUUUGGACUGCAAACAAAUGUGACGUCACAGGCAAGAGAGUUAUCAAAAUAUGGCACCGUUUGAUCAAUACCCGUAAUUCAAUUGGUGCCAAAUUUAUUUUUGUUGGCCAAACUGUUGCACUGAACCCCACACAGUAAUGUUGGAGAACAAAGCGUGUUUAUUCGACUUUAUCUUUGUUGAUCAAACUGUUGUUUUUUUUUAAAUUGAUAAUAAAAAGAGAAGAAUUUGAUUUUUACAUUA
RNA transcript from Nerophis ophidion (straightnose pipefish), 7027 nucleotides. RefSeq lists it as uncharacterized. The transcript is spliced from 3 exons. The record is from RefSeq and is a predicted model, not a curated record. NCBI's taxonomy places the organism in Eukaryota, Metazoa, Chordata, Actinopteri, Syngnathiformes, Syngnathidae.